UACAGAGGGGGCAAGCGUUAUUCGGAAUUAUUGGGCGUAAAGGGCGCGUAGGCGGCCUGACAAGUGGAAGGUGAAAUCCCUCGGCUCAACCGAGGACGUGCGGAAGAAACUGCAAGGCUCGAGUCCGGAAGAGGGGGGCGGAAUUCCCAGUGUAGCGGUGAAAUGCGUAGAUAUUGGGAGGAACACCAGUGGCGAAGGCGGUCCCCUGGGCCGGAACUGACGCUGAGGCGCGAAAGCGUGGGUAGCAAACGGG
RNAcentral lists this ribosomal RNA (253 nucleotides) under uncultured bacterium. Its description in RNAcentral is "partial 16S ribosomal RNA". It matches the Rfam family "Bacterial small subunit ribosomal RNA", at positions 524 to 776 of the family's 1533-position model. The record is from RNAcentral.